Long non-coding RNA from Stegostoma tigrinum, 4073 nucleotides. RefSeq lists it as uncharacterized. Lineage: Eukaryota; Metazoa; Chordata; Chondrichthyes; Orectolobiformes; Stegostomatidae. The transcript has 3 exons. The record is from RefSeq and is a predicted model, not a curated record.
AGAUGGAAUCACAACAUUCACUCUGCACAGGAGGCAUAGAAAUUGAGAAAGGACAGGAACUUGGAGGCAACCUCUCAACAUAGGGAGUGAAUUAUUCACAAGGUAGUGCAUUCAGUUUCAGAAUGGACAACAUUAAAUCAACACUAUUAAAAACUGUUGAAGAACUGACAGAUGACGAGUACACCAAACUUCAAUUUUUGCUGGGAGAAACCCCCGGGAAAAAAAAACUCCAAGAGGAAAGCUACAAAACAAGUCAAAGUGGAGCUUGUACAAACACUAAUUAGUUACCAUUGGCAAUCAGGCAGCCAAAGUUCUGACAAAGGAAUUGUUGAAUAUACCUCACAAGGAUUUUCUUCCAAUCAAAGUUGGUGCUAUGAUGGAUGUCAGCUUAGCCUCUGAAAGAAUGGGUUCCACAUUUUGCAAGUCUUCACUUUGGGCGAACUUCUACCCAAGUUGGAUCAACUUGCCUUUUAAAGCAUUUCUGGUUAGAGUUUUACUGGAGGCAAGAACUAAGAGCAGGAGGAGAUCAUUCAGUCUCCCUAGCACACUUUGCCAUUUAAUAAGACCAUGGCUGAUAUGAUUGUGGUCUGAACUCCACUUUCCUGUCUGCCUUUGUCUCCCUCAUCAAUCAAAAAUCUGUCUACUGCAACAAAGAAUAUAUUCAAUAACUCAGCCUCCAUUGUGACAGGGAAAGAGAAUUCCAAAACCCUUUGUAGAGAAAGCAUUUUUCUUCCUCUCCAUCUAGCUCUAGACUCCCUCACAAGUGGAAACACUCUCUCAGCAUCCACCCAGUCAAGUCUCCACAGGAUCUUUAAACACUUCGGUCAUAUCAACUCUCAUUUUACCAAACACCAAUGGAUACUGACCCACAUUUUCAUUCUCUACUCAUAAACGAACCCCUUCAGCUCAAGAAUCAGUCAGGUGAACUUUCUCUGACCUGCUCAUAAUGCAAUAAUAUCCUUUGUUAAGUAAGGAGACCAAAACUGAACACAGUAAACAUGUUUCGGGCUUGUUUCCAAGUCAGAAAGCUACCUCAGGUGAGAGAAUGGUUAAUUUUUGGAUUUUCAAUGGUUACAAGCUCUUAAGUGGCGUGGGGCAUGGGUUCCCUGUCUCCAGUGGGAAUGAUGUCAAAGCUGGAGGACUGAACCAGUCAGAGUCCUUUCACCUUGAGAGAAGUACCCAGUUACAGUAUAAGAUAAAUAACAGUGAGGGCAUUUCAGCAAGAGGGCCAAAGAAAUCCAUUGAUAAUAAAUUAAACACUACAAAAGAAAUCUUAACUGACGAACCAGAUUUCAAGUUUACCAGCACUCUGGGAUAAGUGGUUCAUCAAGAAAUUAUUCUACAUAGUUGAGGAUAUCGUCCCAAUCAAUGAAUUUGUAGGCAAAUUCCCAAAUUGCCUUCUGAUCUGUGCAUUGGACUUCCUUUUUUAGAAGAUACUGCAGUAAGGGGAGGCAAUGGCCUUGUGGUGUUAUCGCUGGACUGUUAAUCCAGAGACCCGGAUAACAUUCUGGGGACUUGGGUUCAAAUCCCGCCAUGGCAGAUGGUGGAAUUUGAAAUCAAUAAAAUAUCUGUAAUUAAGAAUCUAAUAAUGACCAGAAUCCAUUGUUGAUUGUCAGGAAAAACCCAUCCGGUUCACUAAUGCCCUUUAGGGAAGGAAACUGCUAUCCUUACCUGGUCUGGCCUACAUGUGACUCCAGACCCACAGCAAUGUGCUUGACUCUGAACUGCCCUCUAACAAUUAGGGAUGGACAAUAAAUGCUGCCUAAUCAGUGAUGCCCUCAUCCCAUUAAUAAAUAAAGGAAAGAAAAGUGAGUUUACUUUUUCUACACAGCAGAAUGCUUUACAAGCAGAGGGAUGGUCUUUCACUGAGGUUAAAAUCUUGGAGAAAACUCUAUAAGGUCUGAGUCUAAUUUAAGACCAUCCAAGGUAGAGAUAACAAGGUGUAGAAUUGGAUGAACAUAGCAGGCCAAGCAGCAUCAUAGGAGCAGGAAAGCUGACGUUUCAGGCAUAGACCCUUCAGUGCAGGUCCAGGGAGUGAAUUUUUGAGGUGGUGGACGGAGUGUCAAUCAAGUAUAUUGCUUUGUCCUGGAUGAUUGAGUACUCUAGAGUUUCUCUAUCAUCUAGGAGUGCAAUCAUCUUGACAAAUGGUGAGCAUUCCAUCAUACUCAUAACUUGUGCCUUGUAGAUGGUGGACAGGCUUUGAGGCACCAGGUGGUGAGUUACCUGCUUCAGAUAUCCUAGUCUCUGAACUCUUCAUCUCCACAUUAUUUAUAUGGCUCAUCUAGUUCAAUGUCUGGUCAACGGUAACCCGCAGGAUAUUGAUAGAGGAGGAUUCAGCAAUGAUAAUAUCAUUGAAUAUCAAAGGGAAAUGCAAAAUUCCCUCUUGUUGGAGAUGGUCAUUGCCUGGCACUUGUGCAGCAUGAAUGUUAUUUGCCACUUGUCAGCCCAUCCCUGAAUAGUAUCCAGGUCUUGCUGCAUAUGGACGUGGACUGCUUCAGUAUCUGAGGAGAGUAAAUGGUGCUGAACAUUGAUGAUUGCACAAUGUACAUCCCUACUUUUGACCUCACGAUGGAGGGAGGGUCUCUGAUGAAGUACUCCUGUUGCUGUAUCCUGGACUCAGAAGUUUGAGCUUCAGCAACCACAACUAUCUUCUCCUGUGCUAAGUAUGACUGCAACCAAUGGAGAGUUAUUCCUCCCAAUUCUCAACAACUACAGUUUUGCUCGGGCUCCUUGAUACCACAGUCAAAUGCAGCCUUGAUGUGAAAACAGAUUUUCAUACCACACUUUGGAGUUCAGCUCUUCUGUUCAUGUUUCAGCCAAGGCUAAAAUGAUGUCAGAAUUUGAAUAGCUGUGGGGGAACCCAAACUGAGCAUCAGUGAGCAGGUUACAAUCAAGGGUUAUUAUAUUACCAAGUACUUUCCAUUCCUAAUGACCCUAAAAUCUACUGCAUUAAAUUGUUUCAGAGAUAGUAGGAAAUGUAGAUGCUGGAGAAUCUGAGAUAACAAGGUGUAGAGCUGGAUGAGCACAGCAGGCCAAGCAGCAUCAUAAGAGCAAGAAAGCUGACGUUUCAAAGAAGGGUCUAAGCCCAAAAUGUCAGCUUUCCUGCUCCUAUGAACACAGACAGGAAACUGCAAGUUCUGAUCCAAUCCACACACCAUCCUGGUUUGGAAUUGCUUUGCUGUACUUUCAUGUUACUAGGUCAAAAUCCUAAAAUUCCCUUCCUAAUAACACUGGGUGUACUUACACCGCGUGAACCUCAGAGGUCCGACAAGGCAGCACACCACCACCUUCUGUAGGGCAGCUGGAAAUGAGUAACAGAUGCUGACUUUACAAGUGGAGGGGGUAAUUCCUCUAUGAAUUCUUAAAGAAGUACCCAUGAGACUCAUUCCUCUGCCUCUGAUUAAUUACAAAAUCUCGAACCCUGUGCAGUUGAUGGAAGUAUUCAAGGCACUUACCUCAAAGGCCCAAAUGUUUAGUGAUGGGAUUCUUGAUGAAUAGAAUACACUAGAUCAAGGACAGGAUAAUGGUAAUGUGAAUAAUUAUGACACAUGAAACACCAGUUGCCCAGAACAGGCAUUUCGGUGACACAUAUUCUGAAGGGGCCAAACCAAGAGAUGUAUGCACCAAUUGUUGGAGGUGUUUCUUUUAUUAACUCCCAAUAGGUGACCUUACUAUCUAAGUUGGCAUAUAAUGCACAUCCUGAGAGAAACUACAACCAGUGAACACAUUCUACAGAUGAAGGGUUUCCGAUUUAAGACUAAGAUCAGAAUCCUUUCCUAGGGUCAUGAACUUUCUUAGCAGAAAGCUGUGGCAGCAGCUUCAUUGAUUCUUUUUACACCUACAGUAGGUUCUUUACCAACAAAGGAAACAAGGGAAGGUGGAGCACAGAGCACAACCAAAUUGGCCAUGAUCUUAUAGAACGGUGGAGCAGGCUAGAAGGAUGGAAUGGCUUCCUCCUCUUAAUUUGUAUAUUUGUAUCAAAUAGAUUGUGUUCAGCUAAAAGCAUAUUUCAUGAUGUUUUAUUAGUAUUGUAAAGGAAAACUUUGAUGAAUCUUCAUAAUGCAUGUUGCUGA